RNAcentral lists this unclassified non-coding RNA (380 nucleotides) under uncultured Gemmatimonadaceae bacterium. Its description in RNAcentral is "contains 16S-23S intergenic spacer region". The record is from RNAcentral. Lineage: Bacteria; Pseudomonadati; Gemmatimonadota; Gemmatimonadia; Gemmatimonadales; Gemmatimonadaceae.
UCCGGUUUGGCACCGGCAGUCCUCCCAGAGUCCUCGGCAUGACCCGGUAGCAACUGGGAGCGGGGGUUGCGCUCGUUGCGGGACUUAACCCAACAUCUCACGACACGAGCUGACGACAGCCAUGCAGCACCUGUGCAGGGACUCCGAAGAGGGGACUCGGUUUCUCGAGCCUUUCCCCUGCAUGUCAAGCCCAGGUAAGGUUCUUCGCGUUGCGUCGAAUUAAACCACAUGCUCCACCGCUUGUGCGGGCCCCCGUCAAUUCCUUUGAGUUUCAGCCUUGCGGCCGUACUCCCCAGGCGGGGCACUUAAUGCGUUAGCGCCGGCACCCAGGGGGUCGCUCCCCCAGGCACCUAGUGCCCAUCGUUUACGGCGUGGACUAC